UGCGUAGGCGGAAUAAUAAGUCAGGGGUGAAAGUUUGCAGCUCAACUGUAAAAUUGCCUUUGAUACUGUUAUUCUUGAGUACAUUUGAGGUAGGCGGAAUGUGUUGUGUAGCGGUGAAAUGCAUAGAUAUAACACAGAACACCGAUUGCGAAGGCAGCUUACUAAACUGUAACUGACGCUGAGGCACGAAAGCGUGGGUAUCGAACAGGAUUAGAUACCCUGGUAGUCC
This 229-nucleotide ribosomal RNA is filed under the name uncultured bacterium. RNAcentral's name for it is "partial 16S ribosomal RNA". It matches the Rfam family "Bacterial small subunit ribosomal RNA", at positions 568 to 796 of the family's 1533-position model. The record is from RNAcentral.